GUGGAUAUAGCUCAGGGGUAGGGUGUGUGCUUGGCAUGCAUAAAGUCCUGGGUUCAAUCCCCAGUACCUUCA
Molecule: transfer RNA, 72 nt
Filed under: Camelus ferus (Wild Bactrian camel)
Lineage: Eukaryota; Metazoa; Chordata; Mammalia; Artiodactyla; Camelidae
Rfam family: tRNA
About the family: Transfer RNA (tRNA) molecules are approximately 80 nucleotides in length. Their secondary structure includes four short double-helical elements and three loops (D, anti-codon, and T loops). Further hydrogen bonds mediate the characteristic L-shaped molecular structure. tRNAs have two regions of fundamental functional importance: the anti-codon, which is responsible for specific mRNA codon recognition, and the 3' end, to which the tRNAs corresponding amino acid is attached (by aminoacyl-tRNA synthetases). tRNAs cope with the degeneracy of the genetic code in two manners: having more than one tRNA (with a specific anti-codon) for a particular amino acid; and 'wobble' base-pairing, i.e. permitting non-standard base-pairing at the 3rd anti-codon position.
Source: Rfam by way of RNAcentral